RNAcentral lists this transfer RNA (73 nucleotides) under Serratia quinivorans. Its description in RNAcentral is "tRNA-Cys(gca)". The record is from RNAcentral. Lineage: Bacteria; Pseudomonadati; Pseudomonadota; Gammaproteobacteria; Enterobacterales; Yersiniaceae.
CGUUGUUGGCGUAACGGUAACGCUUCGCCUUGCACAGGCGAACGCCGUCAAUGAUCGACGCAUGGUUCAACGC